RNAcentral lists this ribosomal RNA (260 nucleotides) under uncultured cyanobacterium. RNAcentral's name for it is "partial 16S ribosomal RNA". It matches the Rfam family "Bacterial small subunit ribosomal RNA", at positions 97 to 372 of the family's 1533-position model. Lineage: Bacteria; Bacillati; Cyanobacteriota. The record is from RNAcentral.
GGCGGACGGGUUGAGUANCACGUGAGAAUUUGCCUUUAGGAGGGGGAUAACAAUUGGAAACGACUGCUAAUACCCCAUAUGCUUUCGAGUGAAAUGAAUUAUUUCGCCUAGAGAGAAGCUCGCGGCUGAUUAGCUUGUUGGUAGGGUAGUGCCUACCAAGGCGACGAUCAGUAUCUGGUUUGAGAGGACGAUCAGACACACUGGAACUGAGACACGGUCCAGACUCCUACGGGAGGCAGCAGUGGGGAAUUUUCCGCAGU